RNAcentral lists this ribosomal RNA (256 nucleotides) under uncultured bacterium. Its description in RNAcentral is "partial 16S ribosomal RNA". It matches the Rfam family "Bacterial small subunit ribosomal RNA", at positions 524 to 777 of the family's 1533-position model. The record is from RNAcentral.
UACGUAGGAGACGAGCGUUGUCCGGAAUUACUGGGCGUAAAGCGCGUGUAGGCGGAUGAGCAAGUCUGCUGUGAAAGCUCCUGGCUUAACCGGGAGUGGUCGGUGGAAACUGCUCGUCUGGAGGACGGUAGAGGUAGGUAGAAUUCCCGGUGUAGUGGUGAAAUGCGUAGAGAUCGGGGAGGAAUACCUGUGGCGAAGGCGGCCUACUGGGCCGGACCUGACGCUGAGACGCGAAGGCGUGGGGGAGCGAACGGGG